This 1048-nucleotide ribosomal RNA is filed under the name uncultured fungus. RNAcentral's name for it is "eukaryotic LSU rRNA". The stretch from base 457 to 1048 matches the Rfam family "Eukaryotic large subunit ribosomal RNA", at positions 1 to 605 of the family's 3401-position model. The record is from RNAcentral. Lineage: Eukaryota; Fungi.
AGGGAUCAUUACUGGAUGCAAUACUCCAACAACCCUUGCGAAUCUACCGAAACGUUGCCUCGGCGGGGCUCCUCCGGGAGCGCCAACCCGCCGACGGCCCCAAACUCUGCCUCAUUUAGUGUCUCUCUGAGCAUACUUAAAUAAGUCAAAACUUUCAACAACGGAUCUCUUGGUUCUGGCAUCGAUGAAGAACGCAGCGAAAUGCGAUAAGUAAUGUGAAUUGCAGAAUUCAGUGAAUCAUCGAAUCUUUGAACGCACAUUGCGCCCGCCAGCAUUCUGGCGGGCAUGCCUGUUCGAGCGUCAUUUCAACCCUCGGGCUAGCCCUGGUGUUGGGGACCUGCGCACUGCAGCCCCCGAAAGACAGCGGCGGACCCGUCCGGCUCCGAGCGUAGUACUAUACGUCGCUUAGGGCGCCCGGGCGGGCUUCCAGCCGGAAAACCCCCUAUUUCUCAAGGUUGACCUCGGAUCAGGUAGGAAUACCCGCUGAACUUAAGCAUAUCAAUAAGCGGAGGAAAAGAAACCAACAGGGAUUGCCUCAGUAACGGCGAGUGAAGCGGCAACAGCUCAAAUUUGAAAUCUGGCCCCAGGCCCGAGUUGUAAUUUGUAGAGGAUGCUUCGGACGCGGCGCCUUCCAAGUCCCCUGGAACGGGGUGCCUUAGAGGGUGAGAGCCCCGUACGGUUGGACGCCAAGUCUGUGUGAAGCUCCUUCGACGAGUCGAGUAGUUUGGGAAUGCUGCUCAAAAUGGGAGGUAGACCCCUUCUAAAGCUAAAUACCGGCCAGAGACCGAUAGCGCACAAGUAGAGUGAUCGAAAGAUGAAAAGCACUUUGAAAAGAGGGUUAAAUAGCACGUGAAAUUGUUGAAAGGGAAGCGCUUGUGACCAGACUUGCGCCGGGGCGAUCAUCUAGCGUUCUCGCUGGUGCACUCGCCCCGGUUCAGGCCAGCGUCGGUUUGGANCGGGGGGACAAAGACUUUGGGAAUGUGGCUCCCCCGGGAGUGUUAUAGCCCUUUGUGUAAUGCCCCCGACCAGACCGAGGUUCGCGCUCUGC